Molecule: ribosomal RNA, 261 nt
Filed under: uncultured prokaryote
Description: partial 16S ribosomal RNA
Rfam family: Bacterial small subunit ribosomal RNA
Source: RNAcentral
UACGUAGGGAGCGAGCGUUAUCCGGAAUUAUUGGGCGUAAAGAGCGCGCAGGUGGUUGAUUAAGUCUGAUGUGAAAGCCCACGGCUUAACCGUGGAGGGUCAUUGGAAACUGGUCAACUUGAGUGCAGAAGAGGGAAGUGGAAUUCCAUGUGUAGCGGUGAAAUGCGUAGAGAUAUGGAGGAACACCAGUGGCGAAGGCGGCUUCCUGGUCUGUAACUGACACUGAGGCGCGAAAGCGUGGGGAGCAAACAGGAUUAGAUA